This 1395-nucleotide long non-coding RNA is filed under the name Coturnix japonica (Japanese quail). RNAcentral describes it as "lncRNA (ENSCJPG00005000150.1)". Lineage: Eukaryota; Metazoa; Chordata; Aves; Galliformes; Phasianidae. The record is from RNAcentral.
GAAAUGUCAUCUGAAAGGACCUGUGGAGAUCAUGCUUCUCACAGCAAGUCUACUCUCAGAUCAGCUGUGGCCAUAUCUGAAAGUAUCCGGGAAACAAGGGUAUUUACUUUUACUGCUACUCUUCUUGGAGCUGAAGUCUUCACAUAAAAGACCUGCUUUAACCCCAAGGCCACCAUCUGAAGCCUGCUUGUACCUCAUCAUUUCCCAGUGUUAUAAAACAAGGAUCAUUUUUUUUCCAGCAUGCAUCGUCUUAUUCUCAUCACAUCCAAGGCAAACUGGACUCCUUUACAAAGAAUGUGUCCAGGAGAACAAGGAGAGUUGCUAUUCCUGUGUAACACGGGGCCACAAACUGCAGCCUAGGACAGCUGGUUGGACAUUAGGAAGAACUUUUUCACCUAGACAGUGCUCCCCAGAAAAGGCUAAAAUCCCCAGUUACCAGAAGACUACAAGACUUGGUUUGGUGCAGGAACAACCAACCUGGCCUAGAUGCAGUGACUGUCCUACAGAUUGUACCAGUGGCUGCUGUGACUGUGAGACUGAAUGACUUUCUGGUAUCUGCACUGUGUAUGAUACCUUCUGGCCUGUUUCUUGAAUUAAUGGGGCACCAUAGCUUAAUCACAUGUUCAUGUGUAUUCAGCUUCAUGUACCACCGUAGAGGUACAUACCAGCUUUAAAGGCUUUAAAGAGAAAUAUCUGAGCUUCAGAGGAUGACAGGAACAGCAGAGAAGAAUCUCACUAAAUACCAUACUACUUUGUGGAGCUCAUACAGUUAAAACAUAUUGUUUAAAUUGACAGGGAUUCAUUCUUAAAAAUAUUCAAGAAAACGCAUGGCUUUGCAUCUUCAAAAAGGAGGUAACUCUUAAUGGAAAGUGCACCUUCAGCACCUAAGCCUGGAUUUUAUCACCUUAACUCACACAACACGAUUUAGGCAAUCCACCUCAAGGACCAUGGCAUCCUGAUGCUCUCCACUGGCUGAUUCAGUAUGUUACAAGCAUGGGAGGAAAUGAAGUCUUGUAAACAAGUAGGGAAAGAUGAAAUGGAGGAGUAAGCAAGUCUCAAAACUUUUAAACAUUAGCAUAUUUUUUUUAUCAGUUUUUCAUCAACUUUGUAUGGCAAGUAAUGAUGUUCAUGGAUUUAUGAUAUUAAAAUAUCUGUUUUCUCCCAAUACUAAAGAAAAGAGACAAAAAUGCAUCAGGCUCAUUCCCAGUAAUCAGACUGCAAUCCUUUGUACUCAGUCUAAUUCACAGUACAAAAUUUACCUUUCUGUCUUCUCCUCUCUGCUUUUAGUCUCAUUCCCAAUGCAGAGAAGAAGUGACCAGGAGUGCAUUUCUGGCAUAAAUUUAAGUGAGAAUGAAAAGAAAUAAAAAAUAAUAAUUAAAAAAAAAAUAAAAAUUC